UACGUAGGGUGCAAGCGUUGUCCGGAAUUAUUGGGCGUAAAGAGCUUGUAGGCGGUUUGUCGCGUCUGCUGUGAAAUUCCGAGGGCUUAACCCUGGGCUUGCAGUGGGUACGGGCAGACUAGAGUGUGGUAGGGGAGACUGGAAUUCCUGGUGUAGGCGGUGAAAUGCGCAGAUAUCAGGAGGAACACCGAUGGCGAAGGCAGGUCUCUGGGCCACUACUGACGCUGAGAAGCGAAAGCAUGGGGAGCGAACAGG
Molecule: ribosomal RNA, 255 nt
Filed under: uncultured bacterium
Lineage: Bacteria
Description: partial 16S ribosomal RNA
Rfam family: Bacterial small subunit ribosomal RNA
Source: RNAcentral